UGAUCUCCGCCUUUGAGCUCCCUAGCGA
This 28-nucleotide small RNA is filed under the name Bombyx mori (domestic silkworm). RNAcentral's name for it is "ovarian small RNA-32735". The record is from RNAcentral. Lineage: Eukaryota; Metazoa; Arthropoda; Insecta; Lepidoptera; Bombycidae.